Molecule: non-coding RNA, 100 nt
Organism: Rhinocladiella mackenziei CBS 650.93
Lineage: Eukaryota; Fungi; Ascomycota; Eurotiomycetes; Chaetothyriales; Herpotrichiellaceae
Source: the annotation of a RefSeq genome assembly
UCCGAGCUGGUGUAGAGGUAACAUCUGUCGCUCUCAUUUCUGAUCCAGAAUUGCAAUGAAAGCCGCCGACAUGCCCGGGGUUCGAUUCCCCGGCUCGGAG